RNAcentral lists this ribosomal RNA (253 nucleotides) under uncultured bacterium. RNAcentral describes it as "partial 16S ribosomal RNA". It matches the Rfam family "Bacterial small subunit ribosomal RNA", at positions 524 to 776 of the family's 1533-position model. The record is from RNAcentral.
UACAGAGGUCUCAAGCGUUGUUCGGAUUCAUUGGGCGUAAAGGGUGUGUAGGUGGCGCGCUAAGUCGGGUGUGAAAUUUCGGAGCUUAACUCCGAAACUGCAUUCGAUACUGGCGUGCUUGAGGACUGGAGAGGAGACUGGAAUUCAUGGUGUAGCAGUGAAAUGCGUAGAGAUCGUAAGGAAGACCAGUGGCGAAGGCGGGUCUCUGGACAGUUCCUGACGCUGAGGCACGAAGGCCAGGGGAGCAAACGGG